RNAcentral lists this ribosomal RNA (1478 nucleotides) under Lacticaseibacillus paracasei. RNAcentral describes it as "bacterial SSU rRNA". It matches the Rfam family "Bacterial small subunit ribosomal RNA". The record is from RNAcentral. Lineage: Bacteria; Bacillati; Bacillota; Bacilli; Lactobacillales; Lactobacillaceae.
AGGGGCUGGCGGCGUGCUAUACAUGCAGUCGAACGAGUUCUCGUUGAUGAUCGGUGCUUGCACCGAGAUUCAACAUGGAACGAGUGGCGGACGGGUGAGUAACACGUGGGUAACCUGCCCUUAAGUGGGGGAUAACAUUUGGAAACAGAUGCUAAUACCGCAUAGAUCCAAGAACCGCAUGGUUCUUGGCUGAAAGAUGGCGUAAGCUAUCGCUUUUGGAUGGACCCGCGGCGUAUUAGCUAGUUGGUGAGGUAAUGGCUCACCAAGGCGAUGAUACGUAGCCGAACUGAGAGGUUGAUCGGCCACAUUGGGACUGAGACACGGCCCAAACUCCUACGGGAGGCAGCAGUAGGGAAUCUUCCACAAUGGACGCAAGUCUGAUGGAGCAACGCCGCGUGAGUGAAGAAGGCUUUCGGGUCGUAAAACUCUGUUGUUGGAGAAGAAUGGUCGGCAGAGUAACUGUUGUCGGCGUGACGGUAUCCAACCAGAAAGCCACGGCUAACUACGUGCCAGCAGCCGCGGUAAUACGUAGGUGGCAAGCGUUAUCCGGAUUUAUUGGGCGUAAAGCGAGCGCAGGCGGUUUUUUAAGUCUGAUGUGAAAGCCCUCGGCUUAACCGAGGAAGCGCAUCGGAAACUGGGAAACUUGAGUGCAGAAGAGGACAGUGGAACUCCAUGUGUAGCGGUGAAAUGCGUAGAUAUAUGGAAGAACACCAGUGGCGAAGGCGGCUGUCUGGUCUGUAACUGACGCUGAGGCUCGAAAGCAUGGGUAGCGAACAGGAUUAGAUACCCUGGUAGUCCAUGCCGUAAACGAUGAAUGCUAGGUGUUGGAGGGUUUCCGCCCUUCAGUGCCGCAGCUAACGCAUUAAGCAUUCCGCCUGGGGAGUACGACCGCAAGGUUGAAACUCAAAGGAAUUGACGGGGGCCCGCACAAGCGGUGGAGCAUGUGGUUUAAUUCGAAGCAACGCGAAGAACCUUACCAGGUCUUGACAUCUUUUGAUCACCUGAGAGAUCAGGUUUCCCCUUCGGGGGCAAAAUGACAGGUGGUGCAUGGUUGUCGUCAGCUCGUGUCGUGAGAUGUUGGGUUAAGUCCCGCAACGAGCGCAACCCUUAUGACUAGUUGCCAGCAUUUAGUUGGGCACUCUAGUAAGACUGCCGGUGACAAACCGGAGGAAGGUGGGGAUGACGUCAAAUCAUCAUGCCCCUUAUGACCUGGGCUACACACGUGCUACAAUGGAUGGUACAACGAGUUGCGAGACCGCGAGGUCAAGCUAAUCUCUUAAAGCCAUUCUCAGUUCGGACUGUAGGCUGCAACUCGCCUACACGAAGUCGGAAUCGCUAGUAAUCGCGGAUCAGCACGCCGCGGUGAAUACGUUCCCGGGCCUUGUACACACCGCCCGUCACACCAUGAGAGUUUGUAACACCCGAAGCCGGUGGCGUAACCCUUUUAGGGAGCGAGCCGUCUAAGGUGAACAAAGUUG